CCUUCGCCCUGGAGCGGUGGUUUUAGGGGCCGCCACCGAACCCGUCCCUGCGCCCGCGCUGGAGACGAGACGACCCGACUUUCUGACCCAGCGGGAAGUGCUGGCGCAGGUGGUCUCGAAUGCGUGUUCCUCUUCGCCUCUGAUGUCUGGGAGGGGAAUUCAGCAGCCAGGACUCCCGUCUGGAGCUCUGACCCCAACUUCCUCCAUCCAGGCGCUAGAGAGGCGCCUGCAGCCGAGUCUCGGGUCCCGAGGGCCGCUCACCCUCUCUCCCUUUCCCUCUCUGCACCCCAGCCCGCGCUCUGUGCCCGCGCAUGUCCCUGUCCCGACCCGGGCUGGCCAUCUCCCUGCGCUGGGUCGGAUAAUCACAAGCCUCCCUCCCCCCUGAGACCGCUUCUGUUUUAAGAUUGCGCAUGGCGAGGCGUCCAGUAAGUGUUACGGAAUGAAUGCGUGAGCGUGUGAUGCCCCCCGUGCCUCCCUGAGCCAGGCAGAGGGCCCCCUCCUCUCAACGCCCCCUCUCCCCAUGACCAAGACCAGGUGGCCGCACCAGCCUCAGUCCCGCUGGGGGCCCUUGCUGCUUCUCUGCCCAUAGACCCUGGGCCGCAAGGUGGCCACCUCUCAGGUGUGCCUCCCAGGGAUCCUCAGGCAUUCCUGUCCCCAUGUUGGGUGAGACCUGAGGUGGAGGAGGAAUCUGGAACACUGCUGAGGAGAGGCUCUUCCUACAGAUCUGGGCCGGGCUGGGGGUGGGGUGGGGGAGGGUUGGGGGCUUGCUCUGAGCCCCCAGGAAGCCCUGCCCCCAGCUUCUCUAUGUUCCUGGCCUGGUCAACCUGCUUCCUGCCCUCUGGACUGGAGUAGGUGGGCACUGCUGGAAACUGUGACUGGGACAGUGCCUUGUCUCUCAGGCUGUGGAAAGCAGCUUCUUUGACUUCUUCUUUGACUAUCUUGGAAAAUGGCCCCAAUUUUCUGGAAGAGGGAAGGAGGAUCUGGUUCUCGGAACAUUCCCGCUUCUUCUUCUCGCAGGGGUCCCUUGCUCAGUUGCACACGAAGGCUGGAGCAUCUGUGGCCCACACUGGCAGAGGCCCGGGGUUGAGUGGUCCCCCGACAGGCAUCCCAGCCCUGGCUCAGCUCCUGGCAGCGGCUCUGGGUGGGCCUGGCUACUCUCUCAUGCCUGUCCUCUGCCUCCUUCACCCCUGCCCCCACUCACAGGCAGGUCAGGAAGGCCUGUGAGGGCCCCAGUGGGGGCUCCCUGAGGAGCUCUCUUAGGCUGUAAAUGGCAUCCCACAUCCCGGGGCUGCUCCGUCCCAGGACCCAGCUCCCUUUGCCACCUCUCUUUCUUCUCCCACUGUGCUUUUUCUCUGGGUGGCCUCUCUGGCCAAGUCUUGCUGAGCAGGGAAGGACCAAUAGGUCAAGGGCAGGAGGAAGCUGGGGCCUUGCUACCUCUGGGCAGUGACACUCUGGGCUCUGGGACCACGUGUGACUAAGGGGGAUGAGUGCCGGUGGAUUCAUUCCGGGUCAGAAAAUGCAGGCGCUCUGGCACUUUUCCGGAGGUGGUGGGACCCUCUUUCUGUCUUUUCCUCCAGCAGUGCCGUCGUGUUCUUCAGGCUUCCCACCAGGGUGUCCCCAUUCUAGAGGGCCGUCUGGCAGUCUCACGGAACCCUGGGUCGGCAGGUGUCUCGGGGACUGUGGUACUCUUCAUCUGAACCCUUUGUGCAAACACUGCCCCUGGCAGGCCGUGCCCCCCGAGUCGUGGUACCUGGACUGCCCCUGGCAGGCCGUACCCCCCGGGUCAUGGUACCCGGGCUCCGUCACGAUUCCCCAGCAAGCCUCGGGCCCUCGCUUCUGCAUCCGGCUGCUCUCGGGCUGAGCUGGCCUUGUCACACAGCUGCAUGACCCUCAGGGGCUGCGUUCACGUUUUCUGACCUUGAAUCUCGCACUGAGCGCCAUGCCACACGCACGGGACACUCAGCAUGGGUGUCCCUUCUUCUGGCUGCUGCUUGCCAGCUCUGUCACCAGCCUGGGCUCUGGGCGGUGACCGGGCUCCCGUUAGUCCGCAUGUCUGCUUUAAGGCAUCCUCAGUCGGCCCAGCUCGCUACCUCUGCUUGAGGAGCUGAGUCCCUGAGUGUCUCUCACACUCUCCUCUCACCUCCUCUCCUGCCCCCUCCUGCCUUUCCUAUCACAAAGGGUCGCCCCAGCUCCUCACAUGUACUCAGAACUGCUGCAGGUUCCAGAAGAAUCCUGGGGCUCGAGGAACCCACCCAGCAGGCAGUCUGCCCCCCCCACCCCCCGCUGGCCACUUUCUGGCCUCCCUGGGCCCUUCUCUCCACAUGCACCGCUCUCAGGAAGCCCUGCUCUUCCCUGUCCAAGGGGAAGGCCUCACUCACCCCCGCCUCGGUGACCCCGGGACAGCUCUGUUCCCCCUGCCUCAGCAGCUCUCCCCUCCUCCGGUAGGGUCAGCAGAUUUUCUCCUUUGCCUUUUGGGCCCCCGGCUCUGGGCCACAUGAUCCCAAGCUCCGUCACAGCUCCCCAACUCUCGGUUCGCCUGCAACCUGUGACCUUGUUCUCUAAGGCCUUAAGGUUUUCUCAUUUGCCCCAGAGUUACCUAAAGGGCUGAAGGGCAGUGGGCGGGCCCCCCACCCCCAAGGACCAGGGCACUAUCUGGUCACCCAAGCUUCCUCAAGGGAGAGUCAUGAAAAAUUUCUGAUUUUCGCAUGGUCACAGAACAAAAGGAACCCCUAAUUGCCUCACACCGUAGCCCACUAAUCUAGCGGAUGAUUAUAUUGUAUCUUAGGAAAAAUAUUUGACCUCCAGGGGUGAAGUUCGAGCAUGCAUUGGCGGGGGGGCAUCCUGGGGGUCUGCUGUCACGGGGUGUGCCAAAUCGCGUGCCUGCCCUUUCCCCUACCCACCCCAGUUCCCUCAAGGCUGAGACUCAUUGAAAGUUGCAACUGGUUUUUCUCUUGGAAUCUGUGGAGAAGGGGCAGAGUUUUGCCUUCCGAGCAUGGAGGCUCGAGCCAGAGUCAUCGCUCUCAUUAAAUAAGUACAAUUCAUUGAGCACCUGCUCUGUGCUGUGCACCCUGCUAGGUGGUCUGAGGGGACCCAAGUGAACGGGGCAGACACACAGACUGCCCUCACCCUCUUUGACGUCAGUUCAAAUCCCAGUUCUGGCAAUUACUGUGCAAGCUCAGGCAGAUGACUGAAUCUUUCUGAGCUUCCGUUCUGUUAGCCAUCCAGGGAGGCUGGGCAUUCCUGCCUCGCUGCUCCUGCCUGCAGGAUAGUAUGUGCUCAAUAAAUGGCCGCUGUUCUUCUUCUGGGCUACAGGGUGUCCUCUUUCUUCUCACAUGGAAAUUACCCAGGAAGCUCCUGGACUUUGGCUCUGGACUCAGCCGGCUGUCCUGAGUUUUUGAGUCAUGAAGGAUUCUGGGGGAGUUGGCCAGUGGGCCCCAGGUCCUUGCCAGGCUGUGCAGAGUGACCCAGGGCUGGAGCUGUCACUAUGUCCUGUUCUAAUUUCUGUUUCUCUGUGUGCUUUGUAAUCGGGCCACUCUUUCAGUCAGCUAGAGUUGUUAAUGACCUUGAGAAAGGACCCCAGCCCUGAAUAUAGAACGCUACUCUUUUGAAGUCACCCACUUUUCUUUGUGGGUCUCAACGUGUGUGUGUUUUCCCUCAUGGGCAUGCCUUCCCUUCCGCUUUGAUGCUGCCUCUGUAACAACAGGGUUUGGAAUUAUUAAUUCUCAGUGCACAGUGAGGUACAGUUUUAUUGCACAGAAAAGGGGAAAAUGUAAUUGCUGUCUCGAGUAAUCAUUUUUGGAAGGCUGCGAGCAUAACCUUUCAUUAACAUUUCAUCUGCAGCCAAGGUGGGUAACUGGGAUAGGAUAAAAAUGUUGUUGUCCCCUAUGCAUGGAGAGAUUUCGAGCUAGGGGACACUGGGCCAGUGUGUGCUUUACAGUUGUUUGCAAUUAUUUCUAAAAUUAAAGAUGAUUAACCCAUUAGCCCAUAAGAAAGUGGAGGAGAGGCUUAUGGAGACACAGCUCUUUACUGAGUGGCUUAAAGGUGCAAAUCCCAGGCAGAACCCACCUCAGCCUUUCCACUGGGGGAGCCGUGUCACCCGCCUCUGCAAUGGAUUUGGGGCAUGGGGUCUGGCUCCCUGGUCAAAGCCAAGCUCCCGGGCCAUGGGGACAGACAUUCACAGCUCACUGGGUUGAAGGACACAUGGGAAAUGCUGUGGGCUUUGAUGUUCUCUGGAGUGAAGGCACUUGCAGUGUUCAGAGUGUCUCUAGGGAGAGGGCCAAAGGCUGAUUCCUGGACUGGGAACCCGGACUGCUUUUGGGGCAGGGAGGCAGGCCUCUGGGGAGGUGGGGGGCAGGAUCUUUGGUGACUAACAGCAAUCCUUCCCAGGCCUGGGGAGUCUGGCUAGUUGGAGACCCAGGGCUGGCUCCUGGGAGUAGGGGUGACUACAGUCCCCACUUCUCAUGGCCUCACAUGAUUUCACAGACAUGAGCCCAUCUGGCCGCAGGAACAGCCCCCUGAGAUCUGUGGGAAGGUGGUGACAUCAGCAGUUACCACACUGGCCGGUUGACUUUCAUCUCAUGGGAGCCUCUGAAGCUGGGGCUUUUGGCUCAAAUUAUUGAUUCCCGAGGUCCCCUGGCCUUAGGUGAGCUGGGACUGGUCAGUGGCCUGGCUGGGUGCAGGCGACUGUGGAUCCUGGCAGGGGUGUGGGCUGCUCAGCGUUUGGUGACCUUGCUCUUGCCUGCCAGGCCUCCCUUCCUGUUUGUAUCUGCAGGGGUCCUGACUCCUAACCCAGGGCACGCCCACAUGAAGGGGUGAUUGCCAAACUGUAUAACCAUCCCUGGGAGUUUUAAGAAUAUCCCUGCUCAACCCUGGAGUUGCUGUGUUUCUGAUUCUUGGGCUUACUGUGUUUUCUGGGAAAAAUAAAUAAAAAACAUUGGCUAGUAGAUUUAUUGCCACAUAGCAUUAGUGACAAAGGGGGUUGGUUGUCUUAGUUAUUAAGAAUCUGGAGAUUUCUAGAUGUGCUCACAUUUGUGCCCAAGGGGUGCGUCUUGGCGAGGUUCUGUCUUUGGGAGAAAGGCCACAGUGUAGGUAAGCCCUGAGACUGGGCUGGGGGCCAUGGGGGAGGCUGGAGAGGCAUGGGGACUUGAGGAGCAGCCGUGAGAUUCGGUGUUUCUUUUUCUCACGACCUGGAGCAGGGAGGAAGAAGAUGGCAGGACAGAGGCUGAUGGUGGACCUCUCUGUGCCUGGUGCUCUCUGGUGGUCUCGUGGGACCUGCUGGCUGGGGGUCCCAUUCUGCACAUGGGGAAAUGGAAGUCCUCGGAGACAAAAACAACACCCAGGGGCCAGAACGAGCACAUAUGAGCAGACUUCUUAGAGCAAUGUUUAUAAAAGCCAAAGCCUGGAAACACCUGCACUGAAGUCCCCUAGUAGGGCUCAGUCGGAUCUAUGACACAGCCUUCAGUAGCAUUAUCUGGUGUUUGUUAGAAAAAGAGCCGUCCACGUACAGCCACGACAGCUGCUUACAUGACAUUAAAUAAAGAAAAGCGAAGGACACGUUGCGCACCGUGUGGACACACUUGAUUUCCGUGGCAGUUUCACACAGACGCACGCCGGGCACUGGCAGCCCCUGGAGACGCAGCCCCGACUUCCCUGUGCAGCUUCAACAGCAGCAUUGGUGGCUGAUGUCUUGGGCCUAAGCUCCCUGUGACCUUGAGACGCCUCCAGAGAGCCACGGCUGCCCCGGAGGAAGUUGCCUGCUGCCCUGUUCAGGGGAAGUCCUGUAGUAAGUGCUCCGGCAUGGUGGGGGGAGGGGCUGCAGGCAGGGGAGACUGGGAUGACCCCAACUUUGAACUGAAGACUUCCUGGGGGGCAGCACCUCAGAACUGUUCAAAUAAUUGCACGGAGUCCCUUCAUUUCUACAGGGGGAGAAACCCAGGCCCAGAGAGGGAAAGUGAUGUGUCCGAGGUCACAGAGCAAGGUCAUGGUGGGGCUCAGCAGGUUCCCCAGGACCCUCUGGGCAGAACUCCGGAGCCUGUGCUGGGUGGGAGUGGACCAGGGCUGCACCCGCCUUCCCGCGUGCCUGUUUUCUUCUCCUUAGGGUCAUCUCCACUGUCCUUUUUCUCUCUCUUCCUCCUCCUUCUGCUUGCAACCCCCUCAGUUUGGUCUACAUACCCCCCAUCAGAGCAGAGGAACUCGGGGCGACUUGGUGAGCCCCCGGGUGAGGAUCUGGUUUGAUGCGUUCCCCUUGGACCCCUUGAACGUCCCCGUGUGUGCUGUGUGCACGUGUGCGGUGAUGGUGCGUGAGCGUGCACGUGUAUGUGAGCACACGCGUGCUGUGUGGUGGAGGAGACAAGGGUGACCCCCAGCCACAGGAGUGUUUGAAAUGCCCCAGAUGCAGGGACAGCCCUAGGCUGCCGUGUCCCUGUUCUGCCGGCUGCCAGCGGGAGACGUGUGUCCCCAGAGCCCGUCCCUCCCAGCAGAGCCUGGGACUCUGGGUUAAGAGAGGCAAGCUCUCAGAAAUAGUAAACCACCGUUUUCUCGC
Molecule: long non-coding RNA, 6541 nt
Organism: Lutra lutra (Eurasian river otter)
Lineage: Eukaryota; Metazoa; Chordata; Mammalia; Carnivora; Mustelidae
Exons: 2
Source: RefSeq, a predicted model, not a curated record